This 465-nucleotide ribosomal RNA is filed under the name Vreelandella stevensii. Its description in RNAcentral is "partial 16S ribosomal RNA". It matches the Rfam family "Bacterial small subunit ribosomal RNA", at positions 338 to 795 of the family's 1533-position model. The record is from RNAcentral. Lineage: Bacteria; Pseudomonadati; Pseudomonadota; Gammaproteobacteria; Oceanospirillales; Halomonadaceae.
CCUACGGGGGGCAGCAGUGGGGAAUAUUGGACAAUGGGCGAAAGCCUGAUCCAGCCAUGCCGCGUGUGUGAAGAAGGCCUUCGGGUUGUAAAGCACUUUCAGUGGGGAAGAAAGCCUUGGGGCUAAUACCCUCGAGGAAGGACAUCACCCACAGAAGAAGCACCGGCUAACUCCGUGCCAGCAGCCGCGGUAAUAUGGAGGGUGCGAGCGUUAAUCGGAAUUACUGGGCGUAAAGCGCGCGUAGGCGGUCUGAUAAGCCGGUUGUGAAAGCCCCGGGCUCAACCUGGGAACGGCAUCCGGAACUGUCAGGCUAGAGUGCAGGAGAGGAAGGUAGAACUCCCGGUGUAGCGGUGAAAUGCGUAGAGAUCGGGAGGAAUACCAGUGGCGAAGGCGGCCUUCUGGACUGACACUGACGCUGAGGUGCGAAAGCGUGGGUAGCAAACAGGAUUAGAUACCCCAGUAGUC